UACGGAGGGGGCUAGCGUUGUUCGGAAUUACUGGGCGUAAAGCGUGCGCAGGCGGUUAUGUAAGACAGAUGUGAAAUCCCCGGGCUCAACCUGGGAACUGCAUUUGUGACUGCAUAGCUAGAGUACGGUAGAGGGGGAUGGAAUUCCGCGUGUAGCAGUGAAAUGCGUAGAUAUGCGGAGGAACACCGAUGGCGAAGGCAAUCCCCUGGACCUGUACUGACGCUCAUGCACGAAAGCGUGGGGAGCAAACAGG
RNAcentral lists this ribosomal RNA (253 nucleotides) under uncultured bacterium. Its description in RNAcentral is "partial 16S ribosomal RNA". It matches the Rfam family "Bacterial small subunit ribosomal RNA", at positions 524 to 776 of the family's 1533-position model. The record is from RNAcentral.